UACGUAGGGUGCGAGCGUUGUCCGGAAUUACUGGGCGUAAAGCGUGCGUAGACGGUUGCGUAAGUCAGAUGUGAAAGCCCCGGGCUCAACCUGGGAAUUGCAUUUGAGACUGCGUAGCUAGGGUGCGGAAGAGGGAAGCGGAAUUUCCGGUGUAGCGGUGAAAUGCGUAGAUAUCGGAAGGAACACCAGUGGCGAAAGCGGCUUCCUGGUCCAGCACCGACGUUCAGGCACGAAAGCGUGGGGAGCAAACAGG
This 253-nucleotide ribosomal RNA is filed under the name uncultured bacterium. Its description in RNAcentral is "partial 16S ribosomal RNA". It matches the Rfam family "Bacterial small subunit ribosomal RNA", at positions 524 to 776 of the family's 1533-position model. The record is from RNAcentral.